GAUGAACGCUGGCGGCGUGCCUAAUACAUGCAAGUCGAGCGAACGGACGAGGAUCUUUCUUCGCUUAUGUUAGCGGCGGACGGGUGAGUAACACGUGGAUAACCUACCUAUAAGACUUGGAUAACUUCGAGUAACCGGAGCUAAGACCGGAUAAUAUUUUCGACCGCAUGGUUUAAGAGUGAAAUACGGUCUUUCUGUCACUUAUAGAUGGAUCCGCGCUGCAUUAGCUAGUUGGUAAGCUAACGGCUUACCAAGGCAACGAUGCAUAGCCGACCUGAGAGAGUGAUAGGCCACACUGGAAGUGAGCCACGGACCAGAGUACUAAGAGACGCAGCAGACGGGAAUGUUACGCAAUGGGGGAAAGUAUGACGGAGUAGCGGCGAGCCAGAGAUGACGGUCUUCGGAUCGUAAUAACCUGUUACUAGGGAAGAACAUAUGUGUAAGUAAAUGAGCACAUAGUGACGGUACCUACUCAGAAAGCACCGGCUAACUACGUG
RNAcentral lists this ribosomal RNA (497 nucleotides) under uncultured bacterium. RNAcentral's name for it is "partial 16S ribosomal RNA". It matches the Rfam family "Bacterial small subunit ribosomal RNA", at positions 28 to 507 of the family's 1533-position model. The record is from RNAcentral.